RNAcentral lists this non-coding RNA (73 nucleotides) under pig gut metagenome. RNAcentral's name for it is "TPP riboswitch (THI element)". It matches the Rfam family "TPP riboswitch aptamer (THI element)", at positions 9 to 90 of the family's 105-position model. Rfam says of the family: Vitamin B(1) in its active form thiamin pyrophosphate (TPP) is an essential coenzyme that is synthesised by coupling of pyrimidine and thiazole moieties in bacteria. The record is from RNAcentral.
UUAGGGGUGCCAUUUGGCUGAGAUUAUACCCUUUAACUUGAUGCGGUUAGUACCGUCGUAAGGAAAGUUCCGA